ACCUCCCAUCUCCUCUCCGCUCUUUUCCUUCCUCUUGUUGCUACCGAGGUCCACGUCGACCGCUACAGGCGGCGACGCCAUCGGAGCAGAGCUGGGCAAGUUCCUGACCUAAGCGGCGGCGGCGCGGGUGGGGCGGGCUCGUUGUCGGGGACGCGCCGGUUGUUGGAGGGCGCUGGCCAUGCCCAUGGAUGGGUGCCGGCCGGGGCCGGAGGCACGCUGUUGUGCGCGGCGGCGCUGGCGAGGCUGGAGGCUGCGCCGAGGGCCAGGAUCGGGGACACUAACGCCAGCGUCGCCGACUUCAUUGACGCCGUCGCCGCUUGCUGGCGCUGAUGGCGUUCGUUAAGGGACACCGGACAGGCGGAUCCGCUGGCGUUCGUCGAGGUGAGCCUCCUGAAGGGUGGGUGGUGCGGUGGCGGCGGCGAGUAGUUGCGCGGCAGGCAGGAGGCGCUUGCUUUUCCGGCGCAGGCAUCCGUCGGGCAGGUCGUCCUCGCCGUCAACGAGGCGGGUGUUCGAUGAGGUUCACCCCGACGGCCCGACCCCGGCCGUGCCUACCUCUGCGCUGCCCGCCUACAGCUGGCUCCCCGCGCCGACUUGCCCUCGCUGGGACGCCAUGCUCCCUGCCUCGCUCUGAAUGCUCUGCCUAUCACCCUUAGGCCUCAGUCGCGCGCCUGGCCGGCACACACAGGGUGUUUGACGGAGUGCCCGUGCGGUACCUCGUCGCCUUGCCUCAUUGCCUGGAGCGUCAUCUUUGACGGGUUUGGUGUGUCUUCUGCUUGUUGCUUCCUGCGAUGGAGGCCAGCGCGAGGAAUCGGCCCGAGCAGCUCGCCUUCGUCUCCAUCUAACUCACCUCCGGCCGGUCGCCGUGGAUCAUGGUUUCACCUCCGCCUUUCCGCCGGCAUCUCCGACCACCUCAUCUUCUCCAUGGUGAGUCUAUGAUCCUCCUGGAAUCUUUCCCGCAUCUCCACGGGCUCUGUGGAGGACUGCCGCCGUUCACCGUCGUUCACCGUCGUUCUGAAACUCAGCAUUGCCCCGCGUCGUUGUGCUCAAGAUCCGCUGCCUAGAAAUAUCCCAACCCUGGUCCUUCGAUGUUCCCGACGCUCGCCGGCGUGCCUCGCCGCGUCUCGCGCCGGUGAGUCGCCGAUGUUUGCAUUGCUCGGUAAAUUAGCAUUACCAUCGUUUCAGAGUGCUGUACAUGGACGAUUCACCAUUCGGAGCCUCCCUUAUGUGCCAGAUAGUGACAACGAAAAUAGUGGCAUGGACCACUGGAGUUAUCAUUGCUGAGCACUUCUGAAAUUCUUGAGAUUCAGUUUGACCCCAUACAUUGAUUUGAUGGGACGCCAGGUUUCAGUUGCAAACGGAAACAAAAGUAGUAGUUUGCAGGGAUUGGACGCUUUUGCAGCUGAACAUAUGUCUUUGUAAUUUCGUUCAAUUUUGUCUAGGAGCAUUCUGAAGCUAGAUUGAGUGAAAAUCUACUUAAUGUGGAGAAUCGUAGCGUAUAUAGUUUACUCAUUGCUAAUGUUGUGUUCUGCUCAAUUCCUCCAUUAGGAAUCUGUCACCGUCAUUUAGAGUAGCAACUAAUGAUGUACUCAUUUUCUUUAUUACAUGUGCUACUUGCUCUAAUAUCUAGUCUUACAACGUGUUUUAUGGUUGCAUAGCUAGUGGAGGGCUGUUGAAAAUGUUGCACGUAGAAUUCAGAUGAUUACCUUUGUUGAGAGUCCAUCCUAAGAGUUUCCCUAUGCCCCAGCUAUGAGGUGUCGUUGAUCCAUACUUGGCUUAGACCAACAGCGUCAGUAUCAACCAUCUGAAGAUAAGCACAAGCUUGCGCUGAGUGAUGCAUCUUGGAUGGAAUCAAACUCGCCAUCCAAAAGUGUGCCUGAAACAGCAACACAGAUUUCAGAUAAUGUUGAUUCAUGUACAAGUGCUAUUGGCAGUGAUAACAAAAACAAGGCAUGCGUCGCAGGUUUCAGAAAAUUUGCGAGCCCAAGUUCCACCCACCAAAGAGAUUUCAUGCCUUACAUUAGGCGUGCAGCUGAAAGGUAGCUGCUGCAGCCUCAGGUCCUCUGGAUGAGCCUCCCUUGCAAAGCUGAAGCAGAAUGUCUCCUUGAUGUGCCGUCUAGUUUACUUUGCGAGGACUACGUGUGUUGGAUGUCGCGAAUUCCUGAAGCUGAGCAUGGUGCUGCAGACUCAGCUGCACUUGUUGGAGAGGGCCAGUACUGGUACUAUCCCGGCUUCACAUUUUUCUACUCAGCUAGACCAAGCUCGUAUACUCCGGCGCCAUUUUUGAUGUAUGCAUGAGAAAGCUGAUGUUUUAUCCAGAAGUCGUUGAUUUUCUCGAAGAGGACAAAGAUGAAUUCCCUUACGUAGAAGCCUGAUAUGCUUACGGAUCGCCACCAAAAGCUCAUAAUGCUUGACAAGUAGUCGUCGAACGAAUCUCUAAUGCGCUUAGAUGAAAUUCGACCACGUUUACAUCUUGCCAAAUGCAGCAAUAUGAUACUUUUACAAAGUGAAGACGAGAAUGCAUUUUGCUCUGUAGUACGUAGUAGCUACAAGCUAGCUUCCCAUUGAUUUUAUAUAGUUCUCUUCUUGAAUAAACUUUAUACAGCGACUGAACCUUGUACAGUGGGUGAACAGAAGAAGACUAUUGUUCUUCCCGUCUAGCGCAGUAUAAUAUUGUUCUGUAAUUCUCAUUUGCCACCAUCAAAGCCAAAACAUAGCCAAGUACAGAGCGUCCAUAGAUCUAGGGUUCAUAUUUAAGUUUCAGCAGGUCGUUGUCAUGGCACAAUUCAAAAUCUUCACAUUGUUGUUUAUUAUAGAAUUAUUCCACAUCCAAAAAUAACAGUGAUGCGGUGGUGAUUCAGCCCAACAAAAGACACACAGGGAAGAUUGUACUUAUUAGUCAUGUAUGUGCUAUCAAAAACAACAACGUCGCCAAAAGCCUCGUAGUCACGCCGGGAUUGACUAUCAGCCGAGAACAAUCCCUUCAAAUGACCCUC
Long non-coding RNA from Lolium perenne, 2993 nucleotides. RefSeq lists it as uncharacterized. NCBI's taxonomy places the organism in Eukaryota, Viridiplantae, Streptophyta, Magnoliopsida, Poales, Poaceae. The record is from RefSeq and is a predicted model, not a curated record.